GGCUCAGGACGAACGCUGGCGGCGUGCCUAACACAUGCAAGUCGAACGGAAUCGGGGGCAACUCCGGUUCAGUGGCGAACGGGUGCGUAACACGUGAGGAACCUGACCAUCGGUGGGGGAUAGCCGGCCCAACGGCCGGGUAAUACCGCGUACGACCUUCGGGGGGCAUCCCUUGGGGGUGAGAGCAGCAAUGCGCCGAUGGAGGGCCUCGCGGCCUAUCAGCUAGUUGGUGAGGUAACGGCUCACCAAGGCGACGACGGGUAGCUGGUCUGAGAGGAUGGCCAGCCACAUUGGGACUGAGACACGGCCCAGACUCCUACGGGAGGCAGCAGUGGGGAAUCUUGCGCAAUGGGCGAAAGCCUGACGCAGCGACGCCGCGUGUGGGAUGACGGCCUUCGGGUUGUAAACCACUGUCGGGAGGGACGAAGCUCUGACGGUACCUCCAAAGGAAGCACCGGCUAACUCUGUGCCAGCAGCCGCGGUAAUACAGAGGGUGCAAGCGUUGUCCGGAAUCACUGGGCGUAAAGGGCGCGUAGGCGGCCUGAUAAGUAGGGGGUGAAAUCCUGCGGCUUAACUGCAGGGCUGCCUCCUAGACUGUCGGGCUCGAGCACGGUAGAGGCAGAUGGAAUUCCCGGUGUAGCGGUGGAAUGCGUAGAGAUCGGGAAGAACAUCGGUGGCGAAGGCGGUCUGCUGGGCCGUUGCUGACGCUGAGGCGCGACAGCGUGGGGAGCAAACAGGAUUAGAUACCCUGGUAGUCCACGCCGUAAACGAUGGACACUAGGCGUCGGGGGGAGCGACCCUCCCGGUGCCGUCGCUAACGCAGUAAGUGUCCCGCCUGGGGAGUACGGCCGCAGGGCUGAAACUCAAAG
This 869-nucleotide ribosomal RNA is filed under the name uncultured bacterium. Its description in RNAcentral is "bacterial SSU rRNA". It matches the Rfam family "Bacterial small subunit ribosomal RNA", at positions 21 to 906 of the family's 1533-position model. The record is from RNAcentral.